RNAcentral lists this long non-coding RNA (410 nucleotides) under Brassica napus (rape). RNAcentral describes it as "long non-coding RNA (BNAP_LNC019860)". Lineage: Eukaryota; Viridiplantae; Streptophyta; Magnoliopsida; Brassicales; Brassicaceae. The record is from RNAcentral.
GAGUGAGGUCUUCUUCGGAAAGUCUUACAUGUGCAUAAUGUUGAGAGUAUCGGGAAUGACAAUGCUUGAUCUUCAUUCUUGCUAGAUUGGGCACUCUAUUGUCUAGCUAUAGGUGGGAGGUGAGAGUUGUGAUUAUGAUUUGGGAGCAAUGAAAAAGGAAAAGAAAUGACUCUUUGUGUUUAAGUGAAUUGUCUUAUUGGGAUAAGUAGAAAAACCUCUAGCUCAAGUUAUGAAAAGUCUUGGCCCCUAUCUAAAAAAAAAAAAAGAAAAGAAAUAAAAUCAAAAAGAAAAGAAAAAGAAAGAAAAAGGGGGCUAGCAAAGUUGUUAUGAGCUAAGUAAUGUUUUGAGGUUGUGGAAAAUCUCUUGUAGAUUUCAAAGAGAAGGAGUUAAAGUUCUUAGGAUCUUUUGGU